Molecule: long non-coding RNA, 457 nt
Filed under: Salvia miltiorrhiza (redroot sage)
Lineage: Eukaryota; Viridiplantae; Streptophyta; Magnoliopsida; Lamiales; Lamiaceae
Description: long non-coding RNA (SMIL_LNC002402)
Source: RNAcentral
GAAGUUAAGCGGUGUUCUUAUGUGCCGUUUGCCCAAACUGCUGUUUUGUGUAAAGUGAUAAGGAUCUAUGAUCCGUUUGGCCAAACAGUGGCAUUGAUCAGUUGAGUUCUUGGGAUGGGAGCAGUUUUGGGAGACGAUUUGUUGGGAUAUUUGUAGAUGAUGAUUGCAUGUUGAUUGAGGAUAUAAAAAAAGGAAAGGUGCUGCAGAAGAAAAAAAGAAAAAAAAAAGAGAAAAAAAAUAAAAAAAAGAAGAAAAGAAAAGAAAAGAAAAGAAAAGAAAAAGAUGUUGCACCAGUUUGAGUUGAGCAUGUAGUAUCAUUGUUAUUGUUGGAGUUUUUUCCCCGAAGUUUGGUUGCUUUCUUUCUCUAUAAACUUGAAUUGUGGAUGAUGAUUUGGAUUAGAUAUGCACACUUUGAUCUUCAAUGUUUAAGCUUAGGACCCCUAGGAUCUUGCCAACA